AUUAUUUCAACAUUUUGUUCGUUUCAAAUGAGGAGGAAGCUGAAACAAUGAUCUCUCCUGUACUCUUCAGUGACCCCCCUCAAAGUUUCAAUUUCCUUGCCUGCUCCCUAAGAGUGUUAACAGGGUUUUAUGAAGAUGCACUCAUGGAAACAACCUGAACCGAACCCUUUGUGCUCUAAAGAUGUGGCCUGGAUUUUGACUUCAGUUUGCAUUUCUACGGUGUGCUAAUGCAAUGAAGAAAAAGCCGGCUAUUUGCUUUAGGUACUUGAUGAAUUUCUCCUGAGUUACCUUCAGCUUUGUAAAGUUAUAAGUAAAGCAUGCAACUUCUGUUUGGCAGGAACCUUGCUGAAGUUCAAAACCAGACCAGCAACAACGUCAGAGUUCAAUAAGGAGACAUGCAGAUCUCUGCGUGGGAGAGACAGAAUAACCCCAGGCACCUCCGCAGGCUGAGAAGCCGCCAGUGGAGCAGCAGCCCUGCCAAAGGGGACCCACAGACAUGACAGUGGGUGUCAAGUUGAACACAAGCCUCCCACAUACAGGGCUUCCAGGCUGUUUUGUGGAGGAAUUUUAUGAUACUGUGAGGCCUAAGAUGAAAGAACCUCUCACUGCAGGUAGGUUUUGAACUGGGACCUAAAUGUCAGCAUUAUAGAAAUUAGACACUGAUGUCUUUGCCUAAGCAUUUCACGCGAUAAGCCUUCCACUAUUUGCUUGGGAAAUUAUAACAUGUUUUUUAUGUUAAUUUUCUCACAUUACAUUAAGUCUGCAAUAUAUUUACCAUCAACUUCACUAAUUUUACCUGUCAGAGAAA
Long non-coding RNA from Cygnus atratus (black swan), 808 nucleotides. RefSeq lists it as uncharacterized. The transcript has 4 exons. NCBI's taxonomy places the organism in Eukaryota, Metazoa, Chordata, Aves, Anseriformes, Anatidae. The record is from RefSeq and is a predicted model, not a curated record.